Molecule: ribosomal RNA, 494 nt
Filed under: uncultured bacterium
Lineage: Bacteria
Description: partial 16S ribosomal RNA
Rfam family: Bacterial small subunit ribosomal RNA
Source: RNAcentral
GAACGCUGGCGGCGUGCCUAAUACAUGCAAGUCGAGCGAACAGAUGAGGAGCUUGCUCCUCUGACGUUAGCGGCGGACGGGUGAGUAACACGUGGAUAACCUACCUAUAAGACUGGGAUAACUUCGGGAAACCGGAGCUAAUACCGGAUAAUAUAUUGAACCGCAUGGUUCAAUAGUGAAAGACGGUUUUGCUGUCACUUAUAGAUGGAUCCGCGCCGCAUUAGCUAGUUGGUAAGGUAACGGCUUACCAAGGCGACGAUGCGUAGCCGACCUGAGAGGGUGAUCGGCCACACUGGAACUGAGACACGGUCCAGACUCCUACGGGAGGCAGCAGUAGGGAAUCUUCCGCAAUGGGCGAAAGCCUGACGGAGCAACGCCGCGUGAGUGAUGAAGGUCUUCGGAUCGCAAAACUCUGUUAUUAGGGAAGAACAAAUGUGUAAGUAACUAUGCACGUCUUGACGGUACCUAAUCAGAAAGCCACGGCUAACUACGUG